CCUACGGGUGGCUGCAGUCGGGAAUUUUGGGCAAUGGGCGAAAGCCUGACCCAGCAACGCCGCGUGAAGGAUGAAGUUUCUCGGAAUGUAAACUUCGUAAGAAUGGGAAGAAUAAAUGACGGUACCAUUUGUAAGGUCCGGCUAACUACGUGCCAGCAGCCGCGGUAAUACGUAGGGACCAAGCGUUGUUCGGAUUUACUGGGCGUAAAGGGAGCGUAGGCGGCAAUUCAAGUCAGUUGUGAAAUCUUCGAGCUUAACUCGGAACGGUCAACUGA
RNAcentral lists this ribosomal RNA (275 nucleotides) under uncultured bacterium. Its description in RNAcentral is "partial 16S ribosomal RNA". It matches the Rfam family "Bacterial small subunit ribosomal RNA", at positions 338 to 630 of the family's 1533-position model. The record is from RNAcentral.